Molecule: long non-coding RNA, 1608 nt
Organism: Dendrobium catenatum
Lineage: Eukaryota; Viridiplantae; Streptophyta; Magnoliopsida; Asparagales; Orchidaceae
Exons: 2
Source: RefSeq, a predicted model, not a curated record
UUUAGGCCAUUUAAGGCAAACUCACACACACAACGCAUACACAAAGACUCGAACCCAAGACCUCUUAGUUAGAAGCAUAAGCUCUCAACCAACAGGUCAAGGUGAGUUAUGUGAUUCAUGUUGACCUCAAUUUUAGCUCGAGCAUCCUCGAGGGCCUUUAAUUGAUUUAAUCGAGCCUCAUCGAGCCCGAUUCAAAAAGAGUUUGCAUUGAUUCUGGUUUAAUUUCAUUAAUUAAAUUUUGUCAAGCCUGAUUUCAACUCAAAUCUAAUUUAAAUUAAGGCUCUAUUGACUUUCUCAUGACUUGAAAUUGUUCCCAAAUCAAUAAAACAAUCCAACGACAGAGAUUUCAUCAAAAUUCAAAUACUAGCCGUUGCUUUGAUCCACUCACGCAAGAUACUCGCUUUGAAGGCAUGAGCAUGAUUUUUGCGAGCUUCCACUCCUUGCAUUAACAGAUAUUUACUCCAAGCAUUGGCAAAGGCCUGGGGUCGGCGAGAAAAUUUUUGGGGAAAUGGCUCUCUUGUUCGGGAUUUUCAGGCGCCCGCUCCUUUUCUCUGCCUUGGUCUCUCUUUCUUUCGGAGCAGGCUAAGAGACCGACGGCCCCUCUCUGAUUUGCGAGCCCCUCCCCGUCUCUACUAGGGUUCGCACGAGCUAGGAGCGGAGCCCUCUUCUCCUCCACUCGUCUCCUGCUUGAUCGAACCCGGACAAGGCUGAAGUCUCCUCCGAUUUGGCCUCGCCCUAGCUGCCUGCCUUCUCUAGUGCUCAGCCCAGGCGAAAUCUGCUCCCGUCGCUCCUAGCCGCCGGCGUCCUAUCACCUGCAAGAUUCAAUAUCAUGUCACUGUUGGGAUGGUUAUCGCAUAAAUCACGAGUAACCUUGUGUAGAUUGGUUAGUCAAAUUCAAUCGAGCAGGUGUUUAAGUCAUGAUUUUCAUGUUAACUUGUUUUAUGUGACUUUGUAAACAUUGCAUAUCAAGUGUUUGAUGAAAGACCCCCAAAGGAAAGCCAUAGGUAUUUGCUCGCAUUAAGGCUUUAUGUGGUGAGUUGGUUUAUAUAGAGGCUUGUUGGAAUGUGCUUAUGAGUAUCAAACAUCACUCUGAAUAAUGGGAUUACUUUCUCUUGCUAUAUUAAUGAAGCCAGUAGCAUGAUAGUUUGUUCCUCCUCCUUGGAAAAUGAAGAAUAGCUUUCAUUCAUGUUCUUGAGAUAAUCUGAAAUGAUGUAAUAAAUUUAUUUGCCUUCUUUUUAUUUAUUUUUGUGGACUCAUGCCAUGAGUGGGGGAGAUCGACAUGUGCUAAUUUGUUGCAUUCUUAAAUCCAUUCGACACAAACUUUGAGUUGGAAUAAGUAGAUGAGGUAGAGAUUUGGCAUACACUUGUAUAUUAUUAAAUGCUUCAGUUAUUCUAUGAAAGACACUUAGCUAAGACAAUCAUAUGCUUUCAUUCUUUCUUUCAUGAAGUAUUUUGGAGAAGGCUUAAGAGCUUUGGAAGUUGGAAAGUAGAAUAUGGGGGUUGUUAGAGAUUCUUUGCUUUAGGAAUUAUGACAUUGGUACGUCUUCCUUAUGAUUAUCAAAAUCUUGUUACCUCUUGGCUUUGUGAGCUUGUGAAUGUAAAUCUGGU